RNAcentral lists this ribosomal RNA (253 nucleotides) under uncultured bacterium. Its description in RNAcentral is "partial 16S ribosomal RNA". It matches the Rfam family "Bacterial small subunit ribosomal RNA", at positions 524 to 776 of the family's 1533-position model. The record is from RNAcentral.
UACGAAGGGGGCUAGCGUUGCUCGGAAUUACUGGGCGUAAAGCGCACGUAGGCGGCUUCUUAAGUCGGUGGUGAAAUCCUGGAGCUCAACUCCAGAACUGCCUUCGAUACUGGGAAGCUCGAGUCCGGGAGAGGUGAGUGGAACUGCGAGUGUAGAGGUGAAAUUCGUAGAUAUUCGGAAGAACACCAGUGGCGAAGGCGACUCACUGGACACGUAUUGACGCUGAGGUGCGAAAGCGUGGGGAGCAAACAGG